This is a long non-coding RNA of Microcebus murinus (gray mouse lemur), 1447 nucleotides long. RefSeq lists it as uncharacterized. The record is from RefSeq and is a predicted model, not a curated record. Lineage: Eukaryota; Metazoa; Chordata; Mammalia; Primates; Cheirogaleidae.
GGGAUCGCAGGCCGCUCCACACUUUCCUCUCCCUCCACACUGCCAUAUCCUUCCUUGCUCAUGCAGGAGGCACAGGAAGACUGCUUCCUAAAUGCGAUUCCCGCUUCAUCCCCAAGGAUUCUCUUGGCGCCUCACACUUGGCUUUGGUGAGUACGGAGAGGCACUUCCUUCCCCAUGGGCUCCCCCAGACCCCAAACUAAAGACUGCAAAGGCCGUCUCCCCCUUUUCCAGCCUGGCAGGAGCCGAGCGUGAGGAAGACGGACAUCGCAGAGCAUGGUUGGCUUUGGGGAUGAAGAAGGGGACAGAGUCUUUUGGUUGUCUCUUAAGAGCCCCAAGAAAAUAUCUGUCUUCAGACCGUGCCGUAUUCAUCACCUUAUUCGUUCAGCUUGGACCCAGUUCUCCAAAUGCCGGAAAAUCAGGAAAACUCGCGUGAGCUGCUAUAGACGCAAACGUCAACUGUGUAGGCCGUUACGGUGGCCUGAAAGGUUCAAGCUGAACAGAGAAAAAUGUCAUUUGCCGGUCAAAGAACAACUAACUACCUGUUGGCCGGAUUUAUUUAACUGGGAAGAAUAAUUGGAUCCAAUGGAAGGACUUUAAUGUGGUCUAAAAUUUCAUUUUCUUAGUGAAGACGAUUGAAAAGCAGAGCCAUGAGCAGCAGAACUGCAGGGAGACAAGGAUUCCAGAGUUAUUUUUAAUUUUUAAAGUGAAGAGUGUACAAGCGAGCCAGAUGAGUAAAAGAACUACAAUUCUCAAGCCCUUGGAAAGGAAACAUUACCCACUCCUUUGUCGAGGAGCUUCUGAGAAUGGAUAAUAGCCAAAUAGGAACUUUUUGCUGUGAGCCAAGGAUUAUUCUAUGGGCUCUACAGGGAUGUGGACUGAUUGUACCCACAGUGGAAGACAGGCCAUUAGAAACUACAUAGUUUCUGAACUUCUGGGGCUCUGCAAGAUGCAGAUAAUUUAACAGCAUAUAACUGAAUUUGCAAAGACACACUCAGAGUUCCCAGAGUGAAGAACUUGCCUUUCCUACAGUAAGAGCAUGCAUGCUGUAAAUUCCUAGGAAAAUGCCGAGCAGAAUGCAGUCUAUGGCUCACCGAAGAGAUGACGUGGACACAAAGACAUGUAGAGCAUCAAUUGCUCCACUGGUAUUUUUAUUCUGUAUCUUAAUUUUUGAAAUUUUGUUUUUUGAAGUUAUGGGAAAUUUCUAUAACAUAGAAAGGUGUAUAGAAAAAAUUUCAACUUAAGAAAGGAAUAAAAAUAACCAUGUUAACAUUUUGGUAUAUGUCCUAUUUCUUUCCUCCUUGUUCAUAUUACUUAUACAUAGUUAAGAUCAUACCAUGCAUGCAAUUUUGUCUUGAAUUUUGAUCACAAUAUUGUAGCAUGAGAAUUUUUUAUAUGUGAUUUUAGAAAUUCUUCUAUAAUAUCAGCCCUGACCAUAGUUGCCUAAAAC